CAAAAACAUGUCUUUUUGGUUAUUUAAUAUAAAGUCUAGCCUGCCCACUGAAUUUAAUUUUGAAGGGCCGCAGUAUUUUGACUGUGCAAAGGUAGCAUAAUCAUUAGUCUUUUAAUUGGAGGCUGGUAUGAAUGGUUGGAUGAGGUACAAGCUGUGUCAUAAAAAUUAACAUUUGAAUUUAACUUUUUAGUCAAAAGGCUAAAAUUAAAUUAAAAGACGAGAAGACCCUAUAGAGCUUUAUAUAAUAAUUAUUUAAUUUAUUAAGAUUUAUUAAAUUUAAUUAUUUGAUUAUAUUUUGUUGGGGUGACAGUAAAAUUUAAAAAACUUUUAUUAUUAAUUUACAUUUAUUUAUGAUUAAAUGAUCCAGUUUUAUUGAUUAUAAAUUUAAGUUACCUUAGGGAUAACAGCGUAAUUUUUUUUGAGAGUUCUUAUCGACAAAAAAGAUUGCGACCUCGAUGUUGGAUUAAGAGUAAUUUUGGGUGUAGAAGUUCAAAGUUUAAGUCUGUUCGACUUUUAAAUUCUUACAUGGUCUGAGUUCAAACCGGCAG
This 548-nucleotide ribosomal RNA is filed under the name Simulium lutzianum. Its description in RNAcentral is "partial 16S ribosomal RNA". It matches the Rfam family "Bacterial large subunit ribosomal RNA", at positions 1808 to 2622 of the family's 2925-position model. The record is from RNAcentral. Lineage: Eukaryota; Metazoa; Arthropoda; Insecta; Diptera; Simuliidae.